Molecule: long non-coding RNA, 385 nt
Organism: Mauremys mutica (yellowpond turtle)
Lineage: Eukaryota; Metazoa; Chordata; Testudines; Geoemydidae
Exons: 4
Source: RefSeq, a predicted model, not a curated record
CUAACCUAGUGAGGAGGUCUUUAAACUAGGUUCACCGGGGGAAGGAGACCAAAGCCCCGAGCAGUUAAUCCAUUAGCAAGAAUCUAGCUGGAGAAAUCACCCAAACAGUAGGAGAUGAAGGUGAAAAGCCUCAGAAAAUGUGGACAAAGCCAGGAGAACAAAUGAAAGCACAAAUGGCCUGAGACAUCACCACCAAGCGACUGAAGCACUGAUCAAAGGGGAGAGCCUGGCUGAAGGGCAACCAGCCAGCCUGUGAGAUGCUGGAAAUGAGCUCACCUCCCAAGGCAAACAGCUUCAGCGGGUGUGUGGCUGUUGGGAGGAGAAGUCAGUGUGGAGACUCUCUCCUCCCCCAGAAAUGUCCGGGGGAAAAUGGUGCAUCUUGGCA